UGGGGAAUUGUUCGCAAUGGGCGCAAGCCUGACGACGCAACGCCGCGUGGAGGACGAAGAUCUUCGGGUCGUAAACUCCUGUCGAGCGGGACGAACGCUUCGCGGAUGAAUAAUCCGCGGAAUUGACGGUACCGCUAAAGGCAGCCCCGGCUAACUCCGUGCCAGCAGCCGCGGUAAUACGGGGGGGGCAAGCGUUGUUCGGAAUUACUGGGCGUAAAGGGCUCGUAGGCGGCCAACUAAGUCGGACGUGAAAUCCCCAGGCUCAACCUGGGAACUGCGUCCGAUACUGACUGGCUUGAAUCCGGGAGAGGGAUGCAGAAUUCCAGGUGUAGCGGUGAAAUGCGUAGAUAUCUGGAGGAAUACCGGUGGCGAAGGCGGCAUCCUGGACCGGCAUUGACGCUGAGGAGCGAAAGCUAGGGGAGCAAA
This 426-nucleotide ribosomal RNA is filed under the name uncultured bacterium. RNAcentral's name for it is "bacterial SSU rRNA". It matches the Rfam family "Bacterial small subunit ribosomal RNA", at positions 355 to 772 of the family's 1533-position model. The record is from RNAcentral.